RNAcentral lists this ribosomal RNA (509 nucleotides) under uncultured bacterium. Its description in RNAcentral is "bacterial SSU rRNA". It matches the Rfam family "Bacterial small subunit ribosomal RNA", at positions 28 to 526 of the family's 1533-position model. The record is from RNAcentral.
GACGAACGCUGGCGGCGUGCCUAACACAUGCAAGUCGAACGAGAAUCGGAAGAAGUGGAAGUCUACGGACGGAAGGGGAAAGCCGAGGACAGUGGCGGACGGGCGAGUAACGCGUGAGUAACCUGCCCAUAAGAGAGGGAUAGCCUAUGGAAACGUGGAGUAAUACCUCAUGAAGUAUGGAGACCGCAUGGUUUUGAUAUGAAAGUGAGUAAGCGCUUAUGGAUGGACUCGCGUCAGAUUAGUUAGUUGGUGAGGUAACGGCUCACCAAGGCGACGAUCUGUAGCCGAACUGAGAGGUUGAACGGUCGCAUUGGGACUGAGACACGGCCCAGACUCCUACGGGAGGCAGCAGUGGGGGAUAUUGCGCAAUGGGGGGAACCCUGACGCAGCAACGCCGCGUGCAGGAAGAAGGUUUUCGGAUUGUAAACUGCUGACGCAGGGGAAGAAAAGAAUGACGGUACCCUGAGAGAAAGUCACGGCUAACUACGUGCCAGCAGCCGCCGUAAUAC